GAUGAACGCUGGCGGCGUGCCUAAUACAUGCAAGUCGAGCGAACAGAUGAGGAGCUUGCUCCUCUGACGUUAGCGGCGGACGGGUGAGUAACACGUGGAUAACCUACCUAUAAGACUGGGAUAACUUCGGGAAACCGGAGCUAAUACCGGAUAAUAUAUUGAACCGCAUGGUUCAAUAGUGAAAGACGGUUUUGCUGUCACUUAUAGAUGGAUCCGCGCCGCAUUAGCUAGUUGGUAAGGUAACGGCUUACCAAGGCAACGAUGCGUAGCCGACCUGAGAGAGUGAUCGGCCACACUGGAACUGCGACACGGUCCAGACUCCUACGGGAGGCAGCAGUAGGGAAUCUUACGCAAUGGGCGAAAGCUUGACGGAGCAACGCCGCGUGAGUGAUGAAGGUCUUCGGAUCGUAAAACUCUGUUAUUAGGGACGAACAAAUGUGUAAGUACCUAUGCACGUCUUGACGGUACCUAAUCAGAAAGCCACGGCUAACUACGUG
This 497-nucleotide ribosomal RNA is filed under the name uncultured bacterium. Its description in RNAcentral is "partial 16S ribosomal RNA". It matches the Rfam family "Bacterial small subunit ribosomal RNA", at positions 28 to 507 of the family's 1533-position model. The record is from RNAcentral.